UUUCUACUCCUUCCGUCUCGUAUUAAGUGAUUUUUUAUUACAUGUAUCUAGACGCUUUUUAAACAUAGAUACAUUCAUAUUUGGACAAAAUUGAGUCACUUAAUAUGAGACGGAGGGAGUAUGUC
Non-coding RNA from Brachypodium distachyon (stiff brome), 125 nucleotides. NCBI's taxonomy places the organism in Eukaryota, Viridiplantae, Streptophyta, Magnoliopsida, Poales, Poaceae. The record is from Rfam.